GCCGGGCGUGGUGGCACACACCUGUAAUCCCAGCUACUCAGGAGGCUGAGGCAGGAGAAUUGCUUGAGCCCGGGAGGCAGAGACUGCAGUGAGACGAGAUCGUGCCACUGCACUCCAGCCUGGGCAACAGAGCGAGACUCUGUCUCAA
Molecule: non-coding RNA, 148 nt
Filed under: Gorilla gorilla gorilla (western lowland gorilla)
Lineage: Eukaryota; Metazoa; Chordata; Mammalia; Primates; Hominidae
Source: Rfam by way of RNAcentral